CCUACGGGACGCAGCAGUGAGGAAUAUUGGUCAAUGGACGAGAGUCUGAACCAGCCAAGUAGCGUGAAGGAUGACUGCCCUAUGGGUUGUAAACUUCUUUUAUAUGGGAAUAAAAUGUUCCACGUGUGGGAUUUUGUAUGUACCAUAUGAAUAAGGAUCGGCUAACUCCGUGCCAGCAGCCGCGGUAAUACGGAGGAUCCGAGCGUUAUCCGGAUUUAUUGGGUUUAAAGGGUGCGUAGGUGGAUUGUUAAGUAAGUUGUGAUAGUUUGCG
Molecule: ribosomal RNA, 271 nt
Filed under: uncultured bacterium
Lineage: Bacteria
Description: partial 16S ribosomal RNA
Rfam family: Bacterial small subunit ribosomal RNA
Source: RNAcentral